This 270-nucleotide ribosomal RNA is filed under the name uncultured prokaryote. RNAcentral describes it as "partial 16S ribosomal RNA". It matches the Rfam family "Bacterial small subunit ribosomal RNA", at positions 524 to 794 of the family's 1533-position model. The record is from RNAcentral.
UACGUAGGGGCGAGCGUUGUCCGGAAUGAUUGGGCGUAAAGGGUGCGCAGGCGGGAGAUUAAGUCGGCGGUGAAAUUUUGCAGCUCAACUGUAAAAGUGCCUUCGAAACUGGUUUCCUUGAGUGUAGAUGAAGUAGGCGGAAUUUGUGGUGUAGCGGUGAAAUGCAUAGAUAUCACGAGGAACUCCGAUUGCGCAGGCAGCUUACUAAACUACUACUGACGCUCAGGCACGAAGGCGUGGGGAUCAAACAGGAUUAGAUACCCCGGUAGU